This 84-nucleotide transfer RNA is filed under the name Mariniblastus sp. RNAcentral describes it as "tRNA-Leu". It matches the Rfam family "tRNA". Rfam says of the family: Transfer RNA (tRNA) molecules are approximately 80 nucleotides in length. Their secondary structure includes four short double-helical elements and three loops (D, anti-codon, and T loops). The record is from RNAcentral. Lineage: Bacteria; Pseudomonadati; Planctomycetota; Planctomycetia; Pirellulales; Pirellulaceae.
GCCGGUGUGGCGGAAUUGGCAGACGCGAAGGAUUCAAAAUCCUUUGGGGGCAACCCCGUGGAGGUUCAAGUCCUCUCACCGGUA